UUAAAAUCUGAUAAUAUCACAACUUAGAGAGUAAUAAGUCUACAUUACCUAUUAAAAGUGAUUCCGAAAAGUACUGGAACGUAAUCUGGAAUGUUCGAAAUACGAAGAUUGUAUCCAGAAUGUCCGAAAUACGAAGAUCGUAUCCAGAAUGUCAGUUCUAUAUAUACGGUUUUGACUACCGUACUCCUAAAUUGAAUAUAAAACCUGAGGCAGAGGGGAAAUAAAAGUUAGAGAGAGAAAGGAAGGAAGGGCAGCUGUUCUGAUCAGAAGAGCAAUCCAAAUCCAAUGGGCGAAUCGACGACACUCCUUCACUUCCCCACUGUUUUUUUUUGCAACUUGAGUUGGUGUGACUCAUAAAUUUCAACUUUGGAUCUUCAGUUUUUUUUUUACUCUGUGUGAAUGGAAUCUAAAAGAUGAGAGAGAGAGAGAGAGAGAGAAAUUUUGGAAGCCACCCUUUCUUCUUUAAGAGAAACAUCAUGGCGAUUUCUGAUUGGUGGAAUUGGGUUUUCUCUAUCAGAAAGUAGCCAAUGCCUUGUCCAAUUUGAUGCUUAUCUAAACAAUCAGUGGACUCCUUAGCAUUUAGCAGGCCUCUCUCUCUCUCUCUCUCUCUCUCUCUCUCUCUCUCUCUCUCUCUCUCUCUCAGAAUCUGUUUUAUUAUUGAUUAUGAUAUGAUGAGUUAUAUGUUGUAUUGUUUGAAUCAUUUUAGAUUCUGGUUAUAUGGGUUUCGUAUCUCGAUUUCUGUCCAGUUUAUCAUGCUCACAUGUGUAUAUGAUCUUAUAACAUUAAGUUGUUUUUCUUUUACUCUCUAUGCAUUAUUCAGCUGCCAUUCUAGAAAAUAAUUCAUUCUAGUACAAAAAAAUAUGUGUUUCAUUUGGAAUAUAGUCCCAUACCUCUUAGAUUCCUCAAUUUUUUAAAAUAAAUUUUAAAUAUGUGUAUGUAUCAUAUGAUUGCAGCCUCCAUUUCAGUGCACACCAACUGUUUAUGUUUAUGAUUUUAAAUUUCACUGGAUCUAAUACGUUAAUUCUACUACAAGUAAAGCACAUCAAGAAAAUCAUUUUUGUUGAUCUUCAAAAUAUAAACCAAAAUUAUAUCGUGUAUGUUAGUCUCAACUCGUAAACCUUAAUCAACAAUCUAUGCUACAGUUUAAUUAUAUGGUUCAUCAUAACUUUUGAUGUGAAAACUCAGUAGAAUAUGAUGGCUGUUUUUACCAUUGUUAACAGACAGAAGACUGCUAAAGUUGUAGGAAGCCAUGCAUCUUCCAUACUCGGAUUUAACAGUUUUUGAAUAAUUAUUGUGAGAAAUAACAUCAAUGAAUAGUAAACCUGAAGGAAAUGAGUAAAAUAGUAUGGUGAAAUUCUGAUUCUAUCAGGCUAGUGGUGUUAUCUUUCCUCAGAAAAAGGUCCAGGUGCUCUGUUUUUGCACUACACAUUAAUGUUAUUGGUCAAUUUUCAAUAAUUGAUUUUAUCCAUUUCCUA
Molecule: long non-coding RNA, 1475 nt
Organism: Lactuca sativa (garden lettuce)
Lineage: Eukaryota; Viridiplantae; Streptophyta; Magnoliopsida; Asterales; Asteraceae
Source: RefSeq, a predicted model, not a curated record